AUGGUGCCAGUCACCUGUUCGACGGAAUGUCCGACCGAGGUAGUCACCAUCGCCAGAGUUGACGAGGUCCACGCUGCCACCACAACUGUCCGCCUUGAGCCCGCGGUCGAUCUCAUCCACCAGAAGGUCGUGCCGAUCAUGACGGUUCAUGCAACGCCUGCCAUCGGCACCAGCACCACCAAGGUCCUUCCCCCUGUGGCGACCACCACCGACGUUGACUCCAAGGCCGGUGUGCAAGAGCUCGAUGCCCUCACUGUCAACACCACCCCGGUGACGAGUGAGGUGGACCACACCGUCGUCCACAACGUCUCCAGCGACCUUACUGCAUCGACGCUGACAAGGUGUUCGGCGCAAUGCACCUGUCGCCACACAAACCUACGGAGGUAUGUGCUCCACCCAGCAGCGACACCUUCGUGGCUGGUGCUACGACCGCAACCAUGGCCAUCGUUUUGGAGACAUUAUGCAGAUGGAAACGAGAAACGGCCCAUGCCAUGGCCGUCCUUAGCUUUCUCUCAUGAACUGAAUCGGAAGCACGUUGGGCUGCUGUCACAAGUUACAUCUGCGAUGAAUCAUUUUUCUGGUACUCCAGAUUCGCUGAGAAGACCUGGGAAGUAUUUGCAAAGUAUGCAGCUGAGACUACCAUGGCCAUCAUUUUCAAGCAAUUGCCCGGCAGUAUCAGUGUGGUCAGAAUUGCCCGAGUGCAAGCUUCCAGAUGAAUAUUGUACUGCUAUUGACAAUUUUGCUUCACUGGUGACUACCACUAUCCAUGUUGUUUGUUCACUGGAACCUAUUGAGCAUCAGUUUUCAGUUGUUCUUGAGCAGGGGCGUUGGAAGUAUUCUGAGCAUCACAUAAGGGAACAUGCUGCUAUAAGUGCUCUGACUUCUCCGACAGAAUCCCUGAGAUGUCGCCAAGGGGUGCACCUGAAACUACUGUUUUCAUCAUUCUCAAGCAAUUGCCAAGCAGUACAGUUAUGGUCAGAGCUACCGACAGUGGAAUUUCAGUUUUGUGCUCAUGGUCCUACUGAUCCAAAAAUCACGAGAGAAACCUGGUGGUGCUUGCUGAAAAUUACUUAUAAGAUCGGUCAAUUGGGUCACCUAUUCAGACCAAGACAGUGGCGGUCGCUCAAAUAUGAUUCAGUUGCAUGCUAUCUCGAGGAGCCAUCUUCACGUACACAUCACCAACCUCAUGAAGUUUCAGGGUUCAGUGUUGAGCUAGUACCAUUACCAUUCAGCGAUGUGAGUUCUCCUCAAGUUCCUUAUCGUCAGUCGAAUUCUGUGGACGAGUCUUUCUGUUGUUUGCCGGGUGCAAAGCUGCAGUUUGGGCACAAUAAACUACAGAUUAUGAGCAUGUCAGUACAAUGGCACUUUCUGAGCCAAGAGAAAUUAAAGGGGGGUGGUCGUUUUGAUAGUGAAUUCAGACCUGAACAAGUAGUUGAUGUUUCAAAAACAAGAAUUCAGUCCGCCGAGCUAAUCAGCCUGGAGUGUUGCUCCUUCAAGUGUGGACCAAAUUGCAUACCAUUUGUACUCUGGUGGAAAUACAAGUGUCUUCUUCUUUUGGUGGGAGUUCAACACAUGAUUCUAGUUCAUUUGUACUUUUUGCACAAGAUGACCAGUACUGAAGCUUUGGAAAAAGGUGAUUGUCAGCAUCUUAUAUCAACCAAUUGUGUUCCAGCAUAUCUGAAAUCAGAUGAAGUAUGUGUUGCUGCUAUUUGCAAGUUUGAUCAGGGAAAUUCUCAGGAGUGGGCAUUGAUACUUUGUUUCAAUCAGCGACCACUUCUUGUUUGUACAACUCAGGUGCAUUGGAAUCUUUCUGAGACGGGUGCUUGCUGGAUCCCCAUGGUGCCAAGCUAUAUUCCUGUCCCGAGUCAUCCAAUAAAACAAUUUAUUGAUGAUCUGGCCUUGAGUAUUGCAGAACAGCGGCUAGUCAUCUGUUGGGUGCAGUCCUCUUAUGAAUUUCUCGCUCAUGACGCCCAACCGAUGUUUUGUUUCAGUCAAAAAAAUGCCCAGCUGAAGCUACCAGGAUCAUAUUUUUUAUGCACUUGUCAGGCAGUACAGUUGCUCUACCAUUGGGUUCAUGAGCACGUCACUGAGUUGGCUAGUAGUUGUUACUUUGCAAAAUUUUGGCGCACUAGAGAUUCCCAUGAUUUAGUACAUCAGUGGGUAGUUCCUAUAUGUGCCAGUAUACAAGCAGGUGGUAAUAUGUUCAAGUAUAAGUGGAGCGGACAAUAUGAAUGGAGACUGUUGAAGCCUAAUUUCCUGCAAGCUAGUUCUGGUCCCUGUUCUGAUGCAUAUUUCUAUGGGAACCAAUGCACGGUGGUCGUUGAAGUGUUGGUGUAUCUUGUUGGGCAGCUAAGUGACAUGUUUCAUAAGUGGAGAAGCCAGUAUCAUAUAGGGCGAGCAACAAAAUCACUUACAACUAUGGUAUAUGCAUUGGCAUCUCAGUGGCAGGGAGUGGGCUCCUUCUGA
Molecule: ribosomal RNA, 2466 nt
Filed under: Triticum aestivum (bread wheat)
Lineage: Eukaryota; Viridiplantae; Streptophyta; Magnoliopsida; Poales; Poaceae
Description: partial small subunit ribosomal RNA
Source: RNAcentral